UGACGUGUUUUCUCAACUACG
This 21-nucleotide non-coding RNA is filed under the name Caenorhabditis elegans. The record is from RNAcentral. Lineage: Eukaryota; Metazoa; Nematoda; Chromadorea; Rhabditida; Rhabditidae.